AUUGGUCCCAUAAUUUUUGGACCAAUAAUGAAACAGAUAUGGAUUUUAGAAAUAAAAUAGAAUUAAAAGAAAUAAAAGAAAAUAGAAAUCAGAAAUUAAAAAUUAGAAAAAAGGAGAGGCGUUGGAUGAUGGCUCAUUAAUUGAGCUGGCAUAUCACAUGGCUCUCAGGCGCGCAUCCACCAUACAUUAAAAGAAAUAAAAGAAAAUAGAAAUCAGAAAUUAAAAAUUAGAAAAAAGGAGAGGCGUUGGAUGAUGGCUCAUUAAUUGAGCUGGCAUAUCACAUGGCUCUCAGGCGCGCAUCCACCAUACAUCCAUGUCAAUGAGAAACACGAAUAAUAAAAGAAAGUCAUAACAUUGGACAACCUAGAUCAAAUUUGCAGAAGAACAAAUGUGCACCAAAACGCACGAUCGAGGUACCAAAUGAAAGGUGGAGUGAUG
This 438-nucleotide long non-coding RNA is filed under the name Lathyrus oleraceus (garden pea). RNAcentral's name for it is "Pisum sativum (pea) long non-coding RNA (PSAT_LNC017516)". Lineage: Eukaryota; Viridiplantae; Streptophyta; Magnoliopsida; Fabales; Fabaceae. The record is from RNAcentral.